UGACCUCGGAUCAGGUAGGAAUACCCGCUGAACUUAAGCAUAUCAUAGCGG
This 51-nucleotide ribosomal RNA is filed under the name Fusarium oxysporum f. sp. ciceris. RNAcentral's name for it is "partial 28S ribosomal RNA". Lineage: Eukaryota; Fungi; Ascomycota; Sordariomycetes; Hypocreales; Nectriaceae. The record is from RNAcentral.